CGAGAGAGGCUCGCCAGCAACGAGGACUGCUAAUCUCCGUAACCUUGGUUGGACCCCAAGGCUCACUCGU
Molecule: transfer RNA, 70 nt
Filed under: Pterois volitans (red lionfish)
Lineage: Eukaryota; Metazoa; Chordata; Actinopteri; Perciformes; Scorpaenidae
Description: tRNA-Ser
Source: RNAcentral